GCUCAGAUUGAACGCUGGCGGCAGGCCUAACACAUGCAAGUCGAGCGGAUGAAGGGAGCUUGCUCCUGGAUUCAGCGGCGGACGGGUGAGUAAUGCCUAGGAAUCUGCCUGGUAGUGGGGGAUAACGUUCGGAAAGGGACGCUAAUACCGCAUACGUCCUGAGGGAGAAAGUGGGGGAUCUUCGGACCUCACGCUAUCAGAUGAGCCUAGGUCGGAUUAGCUAGUUGGUGGGGUAAAGGCCUACCAAGGCGACGAUCCGUAACUGGUCUGAGAGGAUGAUCAGUCACACUGGAACUGAGACACGGUCCAGACUCCUACGGGAGGCAGCAGUGGGGAAUAUUGGACAAUGGGCGAAAGCCUGAUCCAGCCAUGCCGCGUGUGUGAAGAAGGUCUUCGGAUUGUAAAGCACUUUAAGUUGGGAGGAAGGGCAGUAAGUUAAUACCUUGCUGUUUUGACGUUACCAACAGAAUAAGCACCGGCUAACUUCGUGCCAGCAGCCGCGGUAAUACGAAGGGUGCAAGCGUUAAUCGGAAUUACUGGGCGUAAAGCGCGCGUAGGUGGUUCAGCAAGUUGGAUGUGAAAUCCCCGGGCUCAACCUGGGAACUGCAUCCAAAACUACUGAGCUAGAGUACGGUAGAGGGUGGUGGAAUUUCCUGUGUAGCGGUGAAAUGCGUAGAUAUAGGAAGGAACACCAGUGGCGAAGGCGACCACCUGGACUGAUACUGACACUGAGGUGCGAAAGCGUGGGGAGCAAACAGGAUUAGAUACCCUGGUAGUCCACGCCGUAAACGAUGUCGACUAGCCGUUGGGAUCCUUGAGAUCUUAGUGGCGCAGCUAACGCGAUAAGUCGACCGCCUGGGGAGUACGGCCGCAAGGUUAAAACUCAAAUGAAUUGACGGGGGCCCGCACAAGCGGUGGAGCAUGUGGUUUUAUGCGAAGAACCUUACCUGGCCUUGACAUG
RNAcentral lists this ribosomal RNA (961 nucleotides) under Pseudomonas aeruginosa. Its description in RNAcentral is "bacterial SSU rRNA". It matches the Rfam family "Bacterial small subunit ribosomal RNA", at positions 22 to 988 of the family's 1533-position model. Lineage: Bacteria; Pseudomonadati; Pseudomonadota; Gammaproteobacteria; Pseudomonadales; Pseudomonadaceae. The record is from RNAcentral.